Melospiza melodia melodia is the source of this 8208-nucleotide long non-coding RNA. RefSeq lists it as uncharacterized. The transcript is spliced from 5 exons. The record is from RefSeq and is a predicted model, not a curated record. NCBI's taxonomy places the organism in Eukaryota, Metazoa, Chordata, Aves, Passeriformes, Passerellidae.
CGCCCGGCCCGGCGCCCCCGGAGGCGGCCGCUCCGCGCUGCCGUACCUGCGCUGGAAGUCGGUCCGGAAGGGCUCCAGCGUGUCGGAUGCCCGGGUGAACUCUGUGUUCCCACACACACAAAGCCCACUGCGCACCCCGGCCAACAGCAACACCCCCCAAAGCAGAUUUGGCAUCAUCGUGAGUGCUGGAAUAAAUUUCUCGGCUGUUUGAUAGGGUGCUGACGUGCUCACAGACAGCUCAGCAGAACAAGACUGGGGACAUCCCUGAGUUCUCAUAAACUCCGUGUCUGCACAGCAAAAUGUUGCUUUGUCAGACACAUAAAUUCCAAACGUGGUAAGGUUAGUCCAGCCGAUCCUAGUACAGAUCAAAAUCCGGAAUAGCACAGGUAGAUUGCUGUGGAAGUUUUUGAGCUAACAGCAACGUCUUGUUUUUGGAUAGGUCACCAAAUAUCCAGGGCAACUAAUCACCAGCCUGACCAUGCCUCUAGGCCAGCGUUGAGCACUUUUAUUUAAGGUCCAGCAAUUUUGCUUUGUUUUGAUAGGUAGUGAGAAAGUUUAUUUAGAGGCCUCUUUUGAAUGCUUUUCAGACACAGUUUAGAAACUUUUCAGCUUCCAGACACCUUAACUCAUUCCCACAACCAUCUCCAAAAUUGUUGUCUUCAGUUUGAGACUCAUCCCCCUAUCUUGGCUUCCUCUGAAUUGAAGUGCUGUUUCUCCUGUCUGCCAGAUGACUAACAGCACCGUGUCUGAUGAACACUAACAGUUCAUUUAUUACUUCUCCUAAAACUGGCUACAGUGAAAGUUUCCAUAAUGAUUUGUUUCAUCAACAGUGCAUGCACACUUAGCUACACUCUAUUUCCUUCCCUGUAGCAGUUUCUGACUACACAGGCAAAAGUCCAACCUUUAACUUCAGGAAGUUAAAUUCUGCAAAUAGCCCCUAUAACAGACAAAGCCCCAGUGAUAUAUUUAACACUUUGUGAACCAAAAUAUGAAUAAGCAUACCAUUUGUAUCUACUCAUGUUUCAUUUUACAACUUGGGCAUGAUUUUAUCUGCCUGCUUUGUCACAAGUAACUGCAAGAUACUAAGGCAUAUGUUAUUUUGAUCACUGAUUACACCAUGAUCCUGGUGUUCCCACCAUGAGCUGAGGUUGGCUCUCAGGACAGUGCCAUUUAAUCCUCUACCUGGAGGCAAAACGGACAGUUCAGACAAUGAAUAUUGUCCCAACAGCUGAAUGUGUCUUUGUGCAUUUGUCAGGGAUGGAUACAAAGCUGCCAGCUGCUGCUGCCAGUAGAAACAGAAAGAGGAGGACUGUUGGGAAUAACUGCUCUUUUACGGGGACAGCAGUGGAUCACAUAAGAAUGGUGUCUAAGGCAUGUGUCUGGCACCCAGUUACCAGCGGGGCUGGAGUAUAUCAAUUAUUCCAAAGUAGUCUUUCAAAGGAUGUUCAUGUUUAAGUUAUGUAUCCUUUAAAAUUUUGCAGAGUGGUUCUUUAGAAGUAACUGUAUAGUUAAAUUUAUAAAAUCAAUUUAGAUGUCUUUUUAAUAUGCAAAGUUCAAAGAUAAACCUAAAUUUUGAAGAGAAAAAUGUCCACUCCUGUCAUGCAGCACCUCCAUUUUGAUUCACUAAUAUAUUGCAUGUGCUUUGCAAAACAUGACAGAGAUGAUAAACCAUAGGAACUAAGGGAAAAAAUCUUUCUUCAAUAAGGCACUGGUCCAGAUUCUCCCUCAUCAAUAGUUUAUUUUCAUAUUUCAGCCAGAAUGGAUCUGUGAGUUCUCUUACCUCUGACUGGCUCUUACAGAGCCAACACCUGAGCUCCAGGUUCUUCUAAACCAAGUGGCUUACAGCAGUUCUGGGCCCUGGUCCUGGCCUGGCUCUGUAAAAUGCUUGUCUAAGUUGUCUUUGGGGUACAGGCUUCUGCUCUGCAGCUAAUAUAGAGAUUUACCUAAUCCCACAGUUUAACCUGUGUGAGAUGGCAGGUACCAAAGGCAGCAGGACAUUUUUUAACUUUCUGACAACAUUGAAGAGUUGCUGAUCUCUCAAAGUGACAAGUCACAAGGCAUGUCCUUUGUAUGGUUCAGUUCAAUACUUAAAGGCUGUAUCAAGACUUGUUAUCCUUUUAGUUUGGGCAGAACUCCUCCCAGCUCCUUUUCCUGAAAGUCUUUUUACAUCUGGUGAUGGUUGGCCCACUGUGUUUGUUUGCAUAUGAGGAGACACAUAUUUUUAUUGGCAUUGCACCUACCCUUGACUUCCAGAUGAGAGAUAGUCCAUGAGCAAGAGCUGAGAACCUGUGACUUGUGCCUGUACUGGAUCUCAUCUUGCAAACUAUCAAGAAAAGGUGUUCCUGUGGACAGAGAAAGGAAGAUUUGUGCUUCAGUGUUCCGGAAAAAUGGAUUCUUGAAGGCGCCCCUGUCCUUUAGGGACAUUUCAGACAUCUGAGCAUGUUAUGGGUGCCAACCCAUUGCAACCUCCCACUUCUGGACUGGUUUUUUCACAUUCAGUUCCUAACACAAAGUGGAGUUCAAAGAGUAAAGGAAAAUUAGCUUAUUUUGCCACAUCAGCCAGCCAAGCCUCCCCAUGUUAUUUGUUCAAGGAUCCAUAAGAAAUAAACUGCACAGUUGUCCUUCAGAUCCAAAGCAAAGCCCCCCUUAAAAAAUAACUAUCCUUUAUCUCAGUAGUCUUCCCAGAGGGGUCAAAGAUUGUACAUGGAGCUGUAGCUCACUGCAGGGUGGCUGUAGUAGGUGACCUUUAAAGGUCCCUUCCAACACAAGCUAUUCCAUGGUCCCAUGAGACUUAUCCCUAUCUUUGGAUUUGCCAAGGUGAGACACAUAGGAGAAAGGAAAUGGUCAGCGUUGCACAGCUGCUGCCAGACAUCACAUCACUGUUCCAUAAUUAAAACUUUACUACAGCAAGGAUUCAACUGAUUGAUUACAUGUGAAGAACAAAGCAUCUGUCCUUGAAAAUUGCAGCAAACAAGCAAAUUGCAACAGGUAUCUUUUGGUAUGUCUAUUAGUUUAGAAUUUUAAGUUUGGGGUUUAUUAGAAAUGUAGGGUAUUGAUACUGUCUUUUAAGGUAUCACCUUUCCCCUGUCAUGUUUCAGGAGCUUUACACAUCUUCAAAGAUCAAAACAAAUACACAAUCUGAAACACUAAAAAGCCAGUUUCAGGGUUGUAAGAGUCCAGUAAGCAGAGUUGAUGGAAAUGCCGUUUUCACUUGCCAUUCAGAGCAAAAUAAAAACACAUUCCAACAACCUCAUGGUCCUAAAUAAUGUUUGCUUCUUGUUUUCACAAUACUGCAGUGUGAUUAUGCUUUCGUGUCCUUAUUUUGUAUAAUAAAUUAUAAAAAAAUGUAAAUAUCUUUCAAAGUUGUUUACACAAGACACUUCAAAGUGUGAUACCAAGUUUAAAACACCCAGAUGUAGAACAAUAUUUGUUGUGAAAAUGUCUGUGAGUCUUACUAAAAAAAUCAACUAAGAAUUUGUAAAACAGUUCACAGAUGCAAAACACAAAUAAAACCUUCAGGAAUUUGAUAAUAUUUUGGGUGUUGCAGAUACUCUGUCUGUUGUAUGCCUUCUAUAUUUCUCAAAAGUAAUUACUGCCAAUAGUAACAACUUUCUACAACUUACUACAAUUUCCUGGUGUUUGCAUAUGUGUUUAUGCAUUGGAGGAAGAACAAAAAAAAACAUUCUGGACUCUCUCCUUAAUGCCAUACCACAAUACUUUGUGGCUGUCCCCUCUGUUUUUAUCAAUGUGUGUUUAUCUCCAACACUUAGAAAAUAAGCAGCUUGAGCUCUCUGGGAUAGUUGCCCCAGAGGAACAUUCUUGCAAUUAUUGCAGCAGCUCCUGUAACAAUAUAUUACAUUAAACAAGCAACUUAUUAACACUUGCCAAAUACUGUAUUCCUUUUAUCCAAACACUCAGAACUGAGAAUGAAACCCCACAGCAUCAGCAGCAAUUUUGUUUUCUUGCUGUUCAUUGUCAGGUCUUUCCUAAAACCCUUGAGGAAUGAUCUUACCUGGGGUGUUUCUUGGUUUCAUAGUCCUGAAGCAUUCAGGCUGCCUGGCCUUUUACUCAGAAAAGAAAGUGAGGUUGCCAGAUAAUCAUUCAGAGGGUAACACAUCUAAUCCUUGGGGAGGUCAAGUGAGGUGAGAAGAAAGGAGAUGCAUACUGCUAAUGCUCUGACAGCUCUGUCAAUAUAAAUUCAUUAGUAUGUAUAGAAGUAUUUUAGAUUUCAAAAAGCAGAAUAGUACCUCAGUUGUAUUCAUGAACUCAAGGCUCUCCUGAGUUUACCGCAGGAAAAGCAGGUGGAUCUGGUGCAAAGUGUGUGUGAAAUGCAGAAUUUUUGGACGUCCAAAAUGCUUUCCACAGACAGCCUUUUAGAUCUUAUCAGUAUUAGUUCUGGUUUACUUUUUAAUGAGAGUUGGUGGCAUUUGACCCAAUUAAUUCUCAGGUAUGACCAAUAGUGUAUUGAGUGAACAAAAAGAUAGGGCAGGGACCAGAUCCUUAAUGCUACAUUCAAACCUUACCUGUAGUUAGAAGAAAACACUAAAUAUGGAACUUAAGAACUUUUUGUUACUCCAGUGAAUAUUUUGACACUAUCAUUUUUCAAAAUAUUGGAUAGGUUUGGAAAAUAAACCAAAACCCAACACCCUCAUUAAUAAUGCAUGUCUCACUCUCUCUCUCUCUAUAUAUAUAUAUAUAUCCAAUGCAUACUUGUUAUGCAGAAAAUGUGUUAGCACACAAAAGGGUCGGAGAGUAUUUAAAAGUGUACAGUAUUUAAAAGUAAAGAGUAUAUAAAAAUACAUAAACUAUGUAUUUUUUUGUCUUAGAAUAUCCCCAGUACUGGAGAUAGGUUCCAGUACUGAAGGUUCAGCCUUCACAGUCCCAGUGAUACAGAGCUACACUUACAGGUGUGUAAUCUGGUGCCAUAGUUGAUUGUACUGUAUGCAAUACAAUUUUCUAUAGGAAAUUUUGUAUGCCUUGGUGAUUCACCUUUUCUUCUUGGAGCAAAGACUCUACAUUUCAAAACUCUACAUUUCUAUAAAUAUAGAAAUCUUUAUCCAAGACAAAUAUAUGUCAUUUUUGUAGAGAACGUCAAUAUUCAUGGAUUAGGAAGAACUAAUCUGUCUUCACAUAGUUUGUUUUUUUUUUUUCUUGCUUAGAGAUAAAUCCUUUAGGUAGGAUCCUUUUUCUCUUAUUAGAAAGAUUUAUAUCAUGCUCAUUUUUAAAAUCAGCCAUGGCAUUUCAGUUAAAAGAAAAGUGGUAUGACUUUCACUUUUUCUAUAUGUAUGCAGCUUAACAAAAUUAUACAGUAAAGAAAACUAAGUGAUACACAGCUUCCAGAAUGGGUACAUUUGGAAGGGUUUGAUUAAACUGUGUUAUCUGUGAGAAAUAAAAGGGGCAAAUAUAAUUAAUUGUUAUCUUAGUUACCCAGGCACCCAGCACCUCCUUCAGUAUGAACUUCUGAGGAUAUACAGGAUUAUUAGCUGCAUUUCUGUUUGCUGAGUAUUUUAUAUUGAAGUACAUACUAAUAAAACAACUACUUCAUUACUACUUAGUAUGAAAAUUUGCUUCAUAUUAUUAGAUAAAUUUUUUAGAUAACAGUUUUUUGCAACAAGGAGCUAAAUAUUUAUAUUUUAAUCCCAAUAGCAAUCUUCACGGGUAAUAUAUUAAUUACAGUCAUGUAUUAUAUGGCUAAAUUUUGUUUUUUUCACGUUAAUGCAUACCAGUUCCAUUAGAAUUGUUUAAGUGCUGAUGCUCAGUCAGUUGUGCUCAGUUUCAAACACCCUUCCUUUCUGAUGUCUCUCUGAAUGUUGUUUUCCAUUACCUAAUUCUACUUAAAAGAUGGUUAAUAUUGGUGACCAGUCUCAUUUUAGCUUAAGCAGCCACUGAGUGCAGAUUUCCUCUUGCUUGUACCGUCAGCCCCUGCAUUAGGGCAUCAACACACAUCAUCACUGCUCACAGCAGUUCUGAUUUCUCCUGCUUGAAAUCCUCCUGAUUUCUCCCGCACUUCUUCGUUUCUUUCUGCAUGAUAUUAUCUUCUCAGGCAGCAUCCAGCCUCUCUCUUCAUUUUCCACUUGUCCCAUAGUUCCACCAGGAGGGCAGGCAUCCCUGAGGGGGGAAGGUUCCCUUUAGUAUCUGUAAAGGUGGGGCAUGAGCAAUUAGUUGCCUUUUUCUUUAUGCCAGUCUUCAGUUAGUGAUCAGCUCAUUCCAGGAUCACUUUGCCAGUUUUCUUAUUUUGUUUCCAUGUGUUCUAGGUCUGACUAUUGACUUUCUGCAAUAUGUCCUACUAUUGCAUAUGUGCAUGGGCUAUUUUCUGCCCCUUCUCACUUUGUCAUCCCCCUUUUGCCACCUCUACCAGAGAAGAAUUUAUGAUAGUGAAUGCUGACAAAAAAGGAGCAGUUUUUAUAGCAUCUGAGUCAUGCACCCUGAUGGACUUUUUGUUUUUCUUGUCUGCUAUUAUUUAGUGUCCCCUAGAUCACUUCUUCCCUCAUAUGGGUUGCCAUCUCUUUCUGUACUGUUCCAGUGUGUACAGGCCCUAAAACUAAAUAUGUUUCUGUGUCCAAGACAUCCACUACAGGACUUAAAAUACACCCUGGUCAUAAUUCAAGGCUUGCCUGUCUCUACCUCAUAAACUUCAAACAGAGACUGACAGCUUUUUCUGGUCCUAAUAUGUCUCUGCUUUCUUUUGGCUUUGAUCCAUCCCCAGGUGAUACAAUCUUUCAAAUUGUGUGCCUCCUUUUCCAGCUUGCGGAGUGUUGCAUAUCUGCCCACAGCUGGCAGUUGCGACUGCAGGAACAGCUGGAUUGCAACAAUCUGCAUCUCCAAGUCUUGGUCCCUGCUGAAUGUGCCAUUCCCUCAGCCCAGCCAUUUCUUCUACAAAAGGAGAGGAAGGCAGGUGUUUCUAGGAGCAGAGUGGGCAUGUGUAGUAAGAGAAAAGCCUCACUUUUGUGAUGUUCUGGUCACCUUUCCACCUGCUUCUAAGUCCUGAGCUUGGCAGUCUUCCUGAUGCAGACAAGAGAUGGGACUUUGUAAGUCAUGAGCCCCUGAGACCUACACAAGAAAAACAGUGAUGUUUAGGCUGAGGGAUUCUAAUUCCUCAGCUUUGGCUGCACACAGUUAAAAUACUGAAUUACUCUUUAAAUUAAUGAAUUAUCUGUUGCUUCUUGACCUAAGCACUCCUGCAGCUGUCUCCUCAGCACCUCCUGUGUUGCCAUCUGAUUCAACACGUGCACAAGGAACACUUGCAAAGGGAGCUGAGUCAUUCUCUAAAUCUGGAACACCAUCCUCAGAACACAAAACCUUCCUCUGCAGGACUUAAGGGCAAGUAUUAACUGUGUCAUUCUGCAUAGGAUGUUUUAGCUUCUCUUACUUUAAAUUACUAGUGUGUCUUACUGAAAGGCACAUAAUUUAGCUGUACCCACCAAAAUUUUCUUUGUGACAUUUGUGUUGCAAAGUGCCAAAUGUUCUUACUUCUGUGUUCCAUUUCCUUUUCUUGUAAUUAAUUGUAAUUUCAGAAUAAACUCACAUCUUCACUGAUUGUUUUUAGUACAUACAUGUAAUUUCUGUGAACUGUGACUACUUUGCUGUCGUUCUUGAGUCUCAAGGAACGUAACCUCCUGUACAAUCAAGCUGUUAUUCCAGUCAGAACAUUGAAAGAUGCUCACUGUGAAUAUCAAUCUGACUCAAGUCAUGUGAUAUACCUAACAUUUAAAAGGGCUGAUGAAUGAGGACAUGUAUUAGACACCCAAAAAGUGAGGAAAAAUAAGUCAUGUGGCAUUGACAUCCAUAAGAAAUUUCAAAUUAACAUGGAAGAAAAUUAAACAGCAUAUCAAUGGAUGAGAUAGGCAUGAUGGUUUCUCCAUGAUGUCAUUGCAUAUUGAUGGAGGCACAGCACUAUGAAAUAUGAGAUGCAAAUGCCAUCAAAAUACUACCCUGGUUUUGCAAGGAGCUGCACAAGGAGCCAUUCCUUUUCUGCAAAAGGAAGGCUUGAUUAUUUAUAACUGUAAAAACAAAAACAGAAAAAUAAAUGUUUUCCCUUUUCUUAACUUCCUUUCUAUUCCACGACAUAUAGAUAUUCCUAUUAAUUUUAAAAAGGUAAACUAUCACCUCUUGUCUCUGUUUUUCUUAAAUCUAGAAAUGUUUUGCAAAUUUGUUUUAAAAUAGUCAAAUGUCUUGCCCUGUUUUUUUCAUUUUUAGAAUAAACUGAAA